GGUAGCACGCCAGCCUCUGAAGCUGGAACUUUAGGUUCGAUUCCUAACCCUGCAACCA
Molecule: transfer RNA, 58 nt
Filed under: Inoviridae sp.
Lineage: Floreoviria; Loebvirae; Hofneiviricota; Faserviricetes; Tubulavirales; Inoviridae
Description: tRNA-Gln
Rfam family: tRNA
About the family: Transfer RNA (tRNA) molecules are approximately 80 nucleotides in length.
Source: RNAcentral